Molecule: ribosomal RNA, 510 nt
Filed under: uncultured Glomus
Lineage: Eukaryota; Fungi; Glomeromycota; Glomeromycetes; Glomerales; Glomeraceae
Description: SSU rRNA
Rfam family: Eukaryotic small subunit ribosomal RNA
Source: RNAcentral
AGCAGCCGCGGUAAUUCCAGCUCCAAUAGCGUAUAUUAAAGUUGUUGCAGUUAAAAAGCUCGUAGUUGAAUUUCGGGAUCAAGGAAUCGGUCAUGCCUCGGUAUGUACUGGUUUUAUUGGUUCUCACCUUCUAAAGAACCAUAAUGUCAUUCAUUUGAUGUUAUGGGGAAUUAGGACUGUUACCUUGAAAAAAUUAGAGUGUUUAAAGCAGGCUUACGCUUGAAUACAUUAGCAUGGAAUAAUGAAAUAGGACAUCAGAUUCUAUUUUGUUGGUUUCUAGGAUCGAUGUAAUGAUUAAUAGGGAUAGUUGGGGGCAUUAGUAUUCAAUUGUCAGAGGUGAAAUUCUUGGAUUUAUUGAAGACUAACUACUGCGAAAGCAUUUGCCAAGGAUGUUUUCAUUAAUCAAGAACGAAAGUUAGGGGAUCGAAGACGAUCAGAUACCGUCGUAGUCUUAACCAUAAACUAUGCCGACUAGGGAUCGGAUGAUGUUAAUUUUAUAAUGACUCAUUC